Molecule: RNA transcript, 983 nt
Organism: Phyllostomus discolor (pale spear-nosed bat)
Lineage: Eukaryota; Metazoa; Chordata; Mammalia; Chiroptera; Phyllostomidae
Gene: TMEM202
Gene name: transmembrane protein 202
Exons: 5
Source: RefSeq, a predicted model, not a curated record
ACAGCCUGCCGCUUCUCCAGGAGUGACCCCGGUCCUCCUGUAGCGGGGCGCCGAGGGUGCCAGCCACCCGCAGCGGCCUUGGUGCGGUCGACUGAGAGCCCAGUGGCGCAGUCGCUAGUGUACAGCGUAGAUGCCAUGCUUACCAGCACAGAACUUCUGGUGACUCUGGGGGGAACCUUGGUAAGUCCUGGAGGCCCUGGGAUCAAGUCCCAGCUUCCUAUGGCAGGCCGAGCCUGAGAGCAGGACUAUGGGGAUUUCCCAGCAACUACCAAGAGCUUUUCUCAGGGAAUUUUUCUGCACUCCUACUCAAGGCAUCAGCCACCUGAAAUGCCUGGAUGGUGAAAGAAAAUGGGUCCAGGGAGAAGAUUGACUCCAAGACUGGAUUAUCUCCAAUAUUCCAGGGCCUUCUUCUUAAUCUCUGUCCUCCUCAUACUAAUUGGUCUUGGCUGGCUCUUAAGCUCUUGCCUCCCUAGAAGAGGAAGCAGGACCACCAACUUGGAUCUGAAGAUAUCCAUGCUCAGCUUCCUCUCAGGUUCACUGGCACACCAGGGAUGCCAUGGAGUCAGAUCUCCUCUGGCCCUAUUAUCUUAAUUGGUGGAGUGACUUAUUAUACAUCUUUUCUGGGAUCAUCUCCUUCCUCAAUUACUUAACUUUCAGAUUUCUUCCCCUUGAUCAAAAUGUCACUGUGAUCCCCACAGAGAAGUCAAGGCUAGGAAUUGGUCCAGUGACUACAGUAUCAUCUGCUGAAAAUGAAGGGACAAGGUCUGAGAUAGGACCUUCAAGUGAUGGAGAGGAAAAACUACCAAAUGCAGAACUACCAAACACAGAAAUGUGAUGGUGAUUAGAAAAUUCAACUACUGUCUGCCUUGAAGAUGGGAGAGAAGCUAACUGAGUUGGAAACGAUUGUGCAGAUUAUUUUAAAAACUCUCCUAAUAUCAUGUCCAUAUUACUGAAGGAGACAGCAUUAAAGCUGAUGAAGUGUC